Molecule: ribosomal RNA, 413 nt
Filed under: uncultured soil bacterium
Lineage: Bacteria
Description: bacterial SSU rRNA
Rfam family: Bacterial small subunit ribosomal RNA
Source: RNAcentral
AGAACGAACGCUGGCGGCAUGCCUAAUACAUGCAAGUCGAACGAACACUUCGGUGUUAGUGGCGCACGGGUGCGUAACGCGUGGGAAUCUGCCCUUGGGUUCGGAAUAACAGUUGGAAACGACUGCUAAUACCGGAUGAUAUCGAAAGAUCAAAGAUUUAUCGCCCAGGGAUGAGCCCGCGUAGGAUUAGCUAGUUGGUGAGGUAAAGGCUCACCAAGGCGACGAUCCUUAGCUGGUCCGAGAGGAUGAUCAGCCACACUGGGACUGACGACACGGCCCAGACUCCGUACGGGAGCAGCAAGGUAGGGAAUAUGGACAAGUGGGCGCAAGCCUAGACUCCAGGACUAAGUCGCCGAGUGACGUGAUAGGAAGGUCCUUAGGGUUACGUAAAGUCCUUACCUUUAACCCGAGUA